UAAGCGGAGGAAAAGAAACUAACCAGGAUUUCCUUAGUAACGGCGAGUGAAACGGAAACAGCCCAGCUUGAAAAUCGGCGUGCUGUGCAUGUCGAAUUGUAGUCUGGAGAAGGGUCCUCUGCAGCGGACCGGGCCAAAGUCCCUUGGAAAGGGACGCCAGAGAGGGUGAGAGCCCCGUCUGGCCCGGACCCUGUUGCGUGACGAGGCUCUUUCGGCGAGUCGGGUUGCUUGGGAAUGCAGCCUCAAGUGGGUGGUAAAUCCCAUCCAAGGCUAAAUACUGGUGAGAGACCGAUAGCGCACAAGUACCGCGAGGGAAAGAUGAAAAGGACUUUGAAAAGAGAGUCAAAGAGUGCUUGAAAUUGUUGGGGGGGAAGCGGAUGGAUGCUCUGUGCGUCCCUUGGUUGUGUGUGGAACGGCGCAAGCUGGUCUGCCAAGCAAUGCAAGGGGCUGGCCAGCAUGGGGGGUUGUGGCGGGAUAACGGCAGGUGGGCCUCGGCUCCCUGCAAGUGUCGCUGCAGCCCCUCGGGAACGUGGGGUGAUGCCCCGUGAUGCUGGUUUUUUGGGCGUUCCAUUCGACCCGUCUUGAAACACGGACCAAGGAGUCUAACAUGUGUGCGAGUCUGUGGGUGGAAAACCUGUUCAGGCGCAAGGAAACUAAAUCGUGGGAUCCUCCAUGUGGGGUGCACCGCGGACCGACCUUGAUCUUAUGAGAAGGGUUUGAGUGUUAGCAUACCUGUUGGGACCCGAAAGAUGGUGAACUAUGCCUGAGCAGGGCGAAGCCAGAGGAAACUCUGGUGGAGGCUCGUAGCGAUACUGACGUGCAAAUCGUUCGUCAGACUUGGGUAUAGGGGCGAAAGACUAAUCGAACCAUCUAGUAGCUGGUUUCCUCUGAAGUUUCCCUCAGGAUAGCUGGAGCUCAUGCUGAGUUUUAUCGGGUAAAGCGAAUGAUUAGAGGCCUCGGGGGUGAAACACCCUCGACCUAUUCUCAAACUUUAAAUAGGUAAGGCGCUGGGGUUGCUCCGCUGAACCCCAGCCUCGAAUGCGAGCUCCAAGUGGGCCAUUUUUGGUAAGCAGAACUGGCGAUGCGGGAUGAACCGAA
RNAcentral lists this ribosomal RNA (1098 nucleotides) under Selaginella versicolor. RNAcentral describes it as "partial large subunit ribosomal RNA". It matches the Rfam family "Eukaryotic large subunit ribosomal RNA", at positions 47 to 1172 of the family's 3401-position model. Lineage: Eukaryota; Viridiplantae; Streptophyta; Lycopodiopsida; Selaginellales; Selaginellaceae. The record is from RNAcentral.